AUGCGGCGGCUUCGGCUCAUCACCAACAUGAGGGCUCAUAAUGACAGGUGGUUUGCAGAUUACUUGCUAAGGGUCGGCAAUGGCACUGAGGAUGUCGACGAUCAAGGGAACAUACUACUCCCUGAAGAUAUUUGUCUGCCGUCUACAGGCGAGGUUGACGACCUGGAGAAACUUAUUGACCAUGUAUUUCCGAGUCUAGAUGACAACAUGUCUGAUUCUAAUUACAUAACAUCUCGAGCACUUUCCACGACAAAGGACAACGUCGACAAGAUAAACAUCCGCAUGAUAGAG
This 291-nucleotide ribosomal RNA is filed under the name Triticum aestivum (bread wheat). RNAcentral's name for it is "partial small subunit ribosomal RNA". Lineage: Eukaryota; Viridiplantae; Streptophyta; Magnoliopsida; Poales; Poaceae. The record is from RNAcentral.